UAGAGUUUGAUCAUGGCUCAGAGCGAACGCUGGCGGCAGGCUUAACACAUGCAAGUCGAGCGGGCGUAGCAAUACGUCAGCGGCAGACGGGUGAGUAACGCGUGGGAACGUACCUUUUGGUUCGGAACAACACAGGGAAACUUGUGCUAAUACCGGAUAAGCCCUUACGGGGAAAGAUUUAUCGCCAAAAGAUCGGCCCGCGUCUGAUUAGCUAGUUGGUGAGGUAACGGCUCACCAAGGCGACGAUCAGUAGCUGGUCUGAGAGGAUGAUCAGCCACAUUGGGACUGAGACACGGCCCAAACUCCUACGGGAGGCAGCAGUGGGGAAUAUUGGACAAUGGGCGCAAGCCUGAUCCAGCCAUGCCGCGUGAGUGAUGAAGGCCCUAGGGUUGUAAAGCUCUUUUGUGCGGGAAGAUAAUGACGGUACCGCAAGAAUAAGCCCCGGCUAACUUCGUGCCAGCAGCCGCGGUAGCCCA
RNAcentral lists this ribosomal RNA (476 nucleotides) under uncultured bacterium. RNAcentral describes it as "bacterial SSU rRNA". It matches the Rfam family "Bacterial small subunit ribosomal RNA", at positions 1 to 527 of the family's 1533-position model. The record is from RNAcentral.